RNAcentral lists this ribosomal RNA (686 nucleotides) under Rybaxis laminata. RNAcentral's name for it is "eukaryotic LSU rRNA". It matches the Rfam family "Eukaryotic large subunit ribosomal RNA", at positions 672 to 1255 of the family's 3401-position model. The record is from RNAcentral. Lineage: Eukaryota; Metazoa; Arthropoda; Insecta; Coleoptera; Staphylinidae.
AGUCUAGUAAAUGAGCGAGCCUAAGGUAUCUUCCGAACACCGCAGGCGUUGUGAAGGCGCUUGCUCGCGGGCCGUUCGCGGUCCCGCGGGCGCGUGCCGACUUCAUAGCGACGAUGGGGGCCUAAACAGCCUCCCGCAGUCGCGAGGUGGUCUCGUCCUCGCUCGCGAGGAGAGCCAUCCUUCUAGCUCACGUGCUAGUACCCGAAAGAUGGUGAACUAUGCUUGACGAGAACCGAGUUAGGGGAAACCCUGAUGUAAGUUCGUCAUCGAUUCUGACGUGCAAAUCGAUCGUCUGAGUUGCGUAUAGGGGCGAAAGACCAAUCGAACCAUCUAGUAGCUGGUUCCUUCCGAAGUUUCCCUCAGGAUAGCUCGUGUCGCUUUAGCUAGUAACAUGUGGUAAAGCUAAUGACUAGAGGUAUUGGGACCGAAACGGCCUCAACCUAUUCUCAAACUUUCAAUGUGUGUGAGAUCAAACGGCUUGCGGUGACUUACGUUUACGAAGCCGUGCGAACUCGCGCGUUGCUUCGGCGGCGCGCGCUGCAAUAACGCGGCACGUAGUGGGCCGAUUUUGGUAAGCAGAAACGGCGAUGUGGGAUGAACCAAAUGCGGAGCUAAAGCGUCAAAGUCAACGCUCAUGGGAAACCAUGAAAGGCGUUAGUAACUGAAGACAGCAGGGCGGUGGCCAU